Molecule: long non-coding RNA, 1803 nt
Organism: Neofelis nebulosa (Clouded leopard)
Lineage: Eukaryota; Metazoa; Chordata; Mammalia; Carnivora; Felidae
Exons: 3
Source: RefSeq, a predicted model, not a curated record
GGCAUUUUUAAUCAGGCUUAGGAAUUUGCCUCCAGCCAUCAGAGAGAAGGCUUGACCAGUGCCUGGCAUGCUGAGGCCCUUGGAGGGUGAACUCAUUAUGACUCAGGACCUAGACUCUCAGACUCAGGUGUGGACAGCUUGGCCUGGUGCACCAUCAGGUAGUUUCGUGGUGGCAAUCUUAAUACUGAUAGGUUCUUGCUCCAAAAACCGCAAGUGAGAGAUGAUCCUGGCAGUGUGUAAUGUGUAAAAUAUCCAGCUAAUAGGAACAAGUUUAUGGUCCCAAUAUCCAAAACUGUGGCAUGUGUACAAAAAUACGUAUAUAGAUCUGUUAGCAGAAAUACUAACAGACUGUGAAUACUGACAAACUGUGAAUGGAAUUCCCGUGUUCUCAGAGUUAGCCGUGUUUGUAAGAAUCAUGGAAGAAAAUAGAGUGAAAUAUGUUUCAGUGAUUCCAAAGACAUCCAGGCUUUGAAAACUUACUUCUCUCAUCAGUUGGUAAAAGAGCAAGUUCCCAGCCUCAACUGGCAGUUGGUGUUUCUCUGACUGAGCUAAAACACUGAUAUGCUCUUGCAUCACCUCUGAGCAGGGCUCGUGCUGUUCCCAAGUGUGCUGGCCGUGUGGCCUCCCGAGCCUUGGCUCACCCUGCACACCCUUGAUCGCAGAGGGCUGGGUACUGAGCAGCUGCUGCUCACCCAGUCACAGGAUCAGCCUUUUCGUUUUGUUGAUCUCAAGUAGCACUGUUGUGUAUGCUCCCUCUUGUUUUCCCUGCUGGUAACUUUGACCAAUGCUUCACACAGAACAAACCAGCAUCAGUUUCCCAAUUAACCGGUGGUCUCUUGUUGUCACCGCUGUGGCUUCUGGUCAACAAGCCCACUAGGAUGGUCCUCUCCAGUUCUCAGCAAGGCCCCCAAUGACAUUCCUGCUGGAGCCUUGCCAAGGUUGGCAGUGGCCACCUCUCUGGAGACAUGACAACUCAGAUUCUCUCACAGCUUUGUCCAGAUGUGGUAGGCUAGUUGCCCUUGCCUGAAAAAACAUGUUAGAUUUGGAUUAGAGACCUAAUCUUCUCAAUUCCCAAACAUGCUGCCAUACUCCCCUUUCACCCAUUUUUAAUCCAGUCCCUAAAGAAACACAACUAACAUUUCAUAAUGAGAAACACUCACAGCCCUAAUGUUCCUCCUCACCUGUCUCUCCCUUCCCUGAGGAUAGAUGGAUGAAACUGGAACCUAAAAAGUGAAGACUCCAAGCUCAUUAACCAGUCCCCAAGUUAUGACUCAUGCUCUGUCUACCCACUUUCUGAAGACUUAUACAUCUUCCAUGUGAGAGAGCCCAGCUCUCAGGAACCCAGGGAGCCAGUACCCUAAAAUGGAAAAAGGCUGGGGGAGGGCUCUUGCCUGCUAAAAGAAGCAUCCCUCAGGAAGCCUAGAAGCCCAGGCCUUAGAGUGCAGAUCUGGUGUGGAUCACAGUGAGGGCUGUCUCUUUGGCCGAGGUCACUUUGCCACAUGAGCCAGCUCUGAGGACCCCAGGGUUUUCUUGGUCAUCAAAACAAGGACACCAGGUAAAAGCAGAACUGGACAUAGGAAGUCACAAAGCUCAAGAUGUCUCUCGCAGUUCUCAUGGAGCCUUUGGUUCCUAGUUCCUGGCACCUGGGGGAGAGAGACCAGGAUUCCAGAGAGAGAGGCCCCCCAACUCUUUCUUUCCUCAUAGAAACUGCAAUUGCAAUAUCAUUAUUGCUUGAAAAGGCAAUCAAAGAAUAUGCAGCCCUUCAUACCCAAUAACUAUAAUAAAACUGAUAAUAAUAAGUGA